RNAcentral lists this ribosomal RNA (460 nucleotides) under uncultured bacterium. RNAcentral's name for it is "partial 16S ribosomal RNA". It matches the Rfam family "Bacterial small subunit ribosomal RNA", at positions 338 to 795 of the family's 1533-position model. The record is from RNAcentral.
CCUACGGGGGGCAGCAGUGAGGAAUAUUGGUCAAUGGACGAGAGUCUGAACCAGCCAAGUAGCGUGAAGGAUGACUGCCCUAUGGGUUGUAAACUUCUUUUAUAUGGGAAUAAAAUGUUCCACGUGUGGGAUUUUGUAUGUACCAUAUGAAUAAGGAUCGGCUAACUCCGUGCCAGCAGCCGCGGUAAUACAGAGGAUCCGAGCGUUAUCCGGAUUUAUUGGGUUUAAAGGGAGCGUAGGUGGAUUGUUAAGUCAGUUGUGAAAGUUUGCGGCUCAACCGUAAAAUUGCAGUUGAAACUGGCAGUCUUGAGUACAGUAGAGGUGGGCGGAAUUCGUGGUGUAGCGGUGAAAUGCUUAGAUAGCACGAAGAACUCCGAUUGCGAAGGCAGUUCACUGGACUGCAACUGACACUGAGGCUCGAAAGUGUGGGUAUCAAACAGGAUUAGAUACCCGUGUAGUC